UACGGAGGAUUCAAGCGUUAUCCGGAUUUAUUGGGUUUAAAGGGUGCGUAGGCGGCAUUAUAAGUUAGUGGUAAAAUAUUGGGGCUUCACCUCACUACGCCAUUAAUACUGUAGAGCUAGAGAACAGACGAGGUAGGCGGAAUAAGUUAAGUAGCGGUGAAAUGCAUAGAUAUCACGCAGAACGCCGAUUGCGAAGGCAGCUUACCGGCGCUCAACUGACGCUGAGGCACGAAAGUGCGGGUAUCGAACAGG
RNAcentral lists this ribosomal RNA (252 nucleotides) under uncultured Odoribacter sp. RNAcentral describes it as "partial 16S ribosomal RNA". It matches the Rfam family "Bacterial small subunit ribosomal RNA", at positions 524 to 776 of the family's 1533-position model. The record is from RNAcentral. Lineage: Bacteria; Pseudomonadati; Bacteroidota; Bacteroidia; Bacteroidales; Odoribacteraceae.